Molecule: ribosomal RNA, 266 nt
Filed under: uncultured prokaryote
Description: partial 16S ribosomal RNA
Rfam family: Bacterial small subunit ribosomal RNA
Source: RNAcentral
UACGUAGGGUGCGAGCGUUAAUCGGAAUUACUGGGCGUAAAGCGUGCGCAGGCGGUUUGCUAAGACAGGUGUGAAAUCCCCGGGCUUAACCUGGGAACUGCGCUUGUGACUGGCAGGCUAGAGUACGGUAGAGGGGGGUGGAAUUCCUGGUGUAGCAGUGAAAUGCGUAGAUAUCAGGAGGAACACCGAUGGCGAAGGCAGCCCCCUGGGCCUGUACUGACGCUCAUGCACGAAAGCGUGGGGAGCAAACAGGAUUAGAUACCCCU